CUAGCCUACGGGAGGCAGCAGUAGGGAAUCUUCCACAAUGGACGAAAGUCUGAUGGAGCAACGCCGCGUGAGUGAAGAAGGGUUUCGGUAUGUAAACUUCUAUCAGCAGGGAAGAAAAUGACGGUACCUGACUAAGAAGCCCCGGCUAACUACGUGCCAGCAGCCGCGGUAAUACGUAGGGGGCAAGCGUUAUCCGGAUUUACUGGGUGUAAAGGGAGCGUAGGCGGUGCAGCAAGUCAGAAGUGAAAGCCCGGGGCUCAACUCCGGGACUGCUUUUGAAACUGUUGAACUAGAUUGCAGGAGAG
RNAcentral lists this ribosomal RNA (305 nucleotides) under uncultured bacterium. Its description in RNAcentral is "bacterial SSU rRNA". It matches the Rfam family "Bacterial small subunit ribosomal RNA", at positions 335 to 656 of the family's 1533-position model. The record is from RNAcentral.